RNAcentral lists this ribosomal RNA (771 nucleotides) under uncultured bacterium. RNAcentral's name for it is "bacterial SSU rRNA". It matches the Rfam family "Bacterial small subunit ribosomal RNA", at positions 8 to 796 of the family's 1533-position model. The record is from RNAcentral.
AGAGUUUGAUCAUGGCUCAGAAUCAACGCUGGCGGCGCGCUUAACACAUGCAAGUCGAACGAGAAAGUGGAGCAAUCCAUGAGUAAAGUGGCGUACGGGUGAGUAACACGUGGGUAAUCUACCUUUUAGUGAGGAAUAACGAUGGGAAACCGUCGCUAAUACCGCAUGAGCCCCUAAUCCGGAAGGAGAGGUGGGGAAAGUCGCAAGACGCUGAAAGAGGAGCCCGCGGCCGAUUAGCUAGUUGGUGGGGUAAGAGCCUACCAAGGCUGAGAUCGGUAGCCGGCCUGAGAGGGCACACGGCCACACUGGCACUGAAACACGGGCCAGACUCCUACGGGAGGCAGCAGUGGGGAAUCUUGCACAAUGGGGGCAACCCUGAUGCAGCGACGCCGCGUGAGCGAUGAAGCCCUUCGGGGUGUAAAGCUCUUUCGUCAGGGAAGAUCAUGACGGUACCUGGAGAAGCAGCUGCGGCUAACUACGUGCCAGCAGCCGCGGUAAUACGUAGGCAGCGAGCGUUGUUCGGAGUUACUGGGCGUAAAGGGUGUGUAGGCGGUUCUUUAAGUUUGGUGUGAAAUCUCCCGGCUUAACCGGGAGGGUGCGCCGAAUACUGAGGGACUAGAGUGCGGGAGAGGAAAGUGGAAUUCCUGGUGUAGCGGUGAAAUGCGUAGAUAUCAGGAGGAACACCGGUGGUGUAGACGGCUUUCUGGACCGUAACUGACGCUGAGACACGAAAGCGUGGGUAGCAAACAGGAUUAGAUACCCUAGUAGUCC